UCCCCAAGAGUUGGCAGCUCUGUGAAAAUCCAUAUGAAAAUCCUGGACUGUCAAAGAUUUUAACCGGGUUUCUGGGAUACAGUUAGAUCUCAACUGUGCUACAAUUUUAACUAUGUUUUAAUGAGGGCAAGGAACAACCCGGCUGUAACUGGGUCACUUGAUUCAGUUAUAAUAGUAGUAUAAGUAACAGUCACAGAAAGAUUUUGCUUAUUUUUCUCAUGGUGACUUGUCCAUCUGGAUUACUUUGAAACAUCCUUCUGGAGUGAUAUUUGCUUGUACCUUUGCCAUUAAAUACAGAAGCUCUGUCUCAUGAAGUUUCCCUUUUGCACAGGGUGAUCCCUACACAUGCAAAAUAGCGACUGAUGUUCCUGGAUCAUUGCCUCUUUCAAGGUGACUAUAAAGGUCUGGAACAUUAAUCUCUGUCUUCUAUGUCUGUCUAUAUGUCGAGGAGCAAGCAGGAGGUGUAAUACAUGGCCAUGAAAAAGGAAGCGAGAGGGCAGGACCACCUGCAACAAAGACUGCAGCACAGAAAAAUAAAGCUCAUAUGAGAUUUGGAUUAGAG
Molecule: long non-coding RNA, 562 nt
Organism: Mauremys reevesii (Reeves's turtle)
Lineage: Eukaryota; Metazoa; Chordata; Testudines; Geoemydidae
Exons: 3
Source: RefSeq, a predicted model, not a curated record